RNAcentral lists this ribosomal RNA (1112 nucleotides) under Vibrio sp. 831M. RNAcentral's name for it is "bacterial SSU rRNA". It matches the Rfam family "Bacterial small subunit ribosomal RNA", at positions 383 to 1489 of the family's 1533-position model. Lineage: Bacteria; Pseudomonadati; Pseudomonadota; Gammaproteobacteria; Vibrionales; Vibrionaceae. The record is from RNAcentral.
CUGAUGCGCCAUGCCGCGUGUGUGAAGAAGGCCUUCGGGUUGUAAAGCACUUUCAGUCGUGAGGAAGGUGGUGUAGUUAAUAGCUGCAUUACUUGACGUUAGCGACAGAAGAAGCACCGGCUAACUCCGUGCCAGCAGCCGCGGUAAUACGGAGGGUGCGAGCGUUAAUCGGAAUUACUGGGCGUAAAGCGCAUGCAGGUGGUUUGUUAAGUCAGAUGUGAAAGCCCGGGGCUCAACCUCGGAAUAGCAUUUGAAACUGGCAGACUAGAGUACUGUAGAGGGGGGUAGAAUUUCAGGUGUAGCGGUGAAAUGCGUAGAGAUCUGAAGGAAUACCGGUGGCGAAGGCGGCCCCCUGGACAGAUACUGACACUCAGAUGCGAAAGCGUGGGGAGCAAACAGGAUUAGAUACCCUGGUAGUCCACGCCGUAAACGAUGUCUACUUGGAGGUUGUGGCCUUGAGCCGUGGCUUUCGGAGCUAACGCGUUAAGUAGACCGCCUGGGGAGUACGGUCGCAAGAUUAAAACUCAAAUGAAUUGACGGGGGCCCGCACAAGCGGUGGAGCAUGUGGUUUAAUUCGAUGCAACGCGAAGAACCUUACCUACUCUUGACAUCCAGAGAACUUUCCAGAGAUGGAUUGGUGCCUUCGGGAACUCUGAGACAGGUGCUGCAUGGCUGUCGUCAGCUCGUGUUGUGAAAUGUUGGGUUAAGUCCCGCAACGAGCGCAACCCUUAUCCUUGUUUGCCAGCGAGUAAUGUCGGGAACUCCAGGGAGACUGCCGGUGAUAAACCGGAGGAAGGUGGGGACGACGUCAAGUCAUCAUGGCCCUUACGAGUAGGGCUACACACGUGCUACAAUGGCGCAUACAGAGGGCAGCAAGCUAGCGAUAGUGAGCGAAUCCCAAAAAGUGCGUCGUAGUCCGGAUUGGAGUCUGCAACUCGACUCCAUGAAGUCGGAAUCGCUAGUAAUCGUGGAUCAGAAUGCCACGGUGAAUACGUUCCCGGGCCUUGUACACACCGCCCGUCACACCAUGGGAAGUGGGCUGCAAAAGAAGUAGGUAGUUUAACCUUCGGGAGGACGCUUACCACUUUGUGGUUCAUGACUGGGUGAAUCGU